GACGAACGCUGGCGGCGUGCUUAACACAUGCAAGUCGAACGGAAAGGCCCCUUUGGGGGUACUCGAGUGGCGAACGGGUGAGUAACACGUGAGUAACCUGCCCUUGACUUCGGGAUAACUUCAGGAAACUGGGACUAAUACCGGAUAGGAAUCCUUGCUGCAUGGUGGGGGUUGGAAAGCUUCGGCGGUUUUGGAUGGACUCGCGGCUUAUCAGCUUGUUGGUGGGGUAGUGGCUUACCAAGGCUUUGACGGGUAGCCGGCCUGAGAGGGCGACCGGCCACAUUGGGACUGAGAUACGGCCCAGACUCCUACGGGAGGCAGCAGUGGGGAAUAUUGCACAAUGGGCGGAAGCCUGAUGCAGCAACGCCGCGUGCGGGAUGACGGCCUUCGGGUUGUAAACCGCUUUCAGCAGGGGCGAAGCUUGUGGUGACGGUACCUGCAGAAGAAGCACCGGCUAACUACGUG
RNAcentral lists this ribosomal RNA (465 nucleotides) under uncultured bacterium. Its description in RNAcentral is "partial 16S ribosomal RNA". It matches the Rfam family "Bacterial small subunit ribosomal RNA", at positions 28 to 507 of the family's 1533-position model. The record is from RNAcentral.